AGUGAACGCUGGCGGUAGGCCUAACACAUGCAAGUCGAACGGCAGCACAGUAAGAGCUUGCUCUUACGGGUGGCGAGUGGCGGACGGGUGAGGAAUACAUCGGAAUCUACUUUUUCUUGGGGGAUAACGUAGGGAAACUUACGCUAAUACCGCAUACAACCUACGGGUUAAAGCAGGGGAUCUUCGGACCUUGCGCGAUUGAUUGAGCCGAUGUCGGAUUAGCUAGUUGGCGGGGUAAAGGCCCACCAAGGCGACGAUCCGUAGCUGGUCUGAGAGGAUGAUCAGCCACACUGGAACUGAGACACGGUCCAGACUCCUACGGGAGGCAGCAGUGGGGAAUAUUGGACAAUGGGCGAAAGCCUGAUCCAGCCAUACCGCGUGGGUGAAGAAGGCCUUCGGGUUGUAAAGCCCUUUUGUUGGGAAAGAAAAGCAGCAGGUUAAUACCCCGCUGUUCUGACGGUACCCAAAGAAUAAGCACCGGCUAACUUCGUG
This 492-nucleotide ribosomal RNA is filed under the name uncultured bacterium. RNAcentral describes it as "partial 16S ribosomal RNA". It matches the Rfam family "Bacterial small subunit ribosomal RNA", at positions 29 to 507 of the family's 1533-position model. The record is from RNAcentral.